UACGUAGGGUGCAAGCGUUAAUCGGAAUUACUGGGCGUAAAGCGUGCGCAGGCGGUUUUGUAAGACAGAUGUGAAAUCCCCGGGCUCAACCUGGGACCUGCAUUUGUGACUGCAAAGCUAGAGUACGGUAGAGGGGGAUGGAAUUCCGCGUGUAGCAGUGAAAUGCGUAGAUAUGCGGAGGAACACCGAUGGCGAAGGCAAUCCCCUGGACCUGUACUGACGCUCAUGCACGAAAGCGUGGGGAGCAAACAGG
This 253-nucleotide ribosomal RNA is filed under the name uncultured bacterium. Its description in RNAcentral is "partial 16S ribosomal RNA". It matches the Rfam family "Bacterial small subunit ribosomal RNA", at positions 524 to 776 of the family's 1533-position model. The record is from RNAcentral.